GUUUAUGAAGAUAGUAGAAAUUGCACGUUUGACUUUUAGUUAAUCAACCGACAUAGCCAAGGAGAAAAAGAGAAAAGGAAAUAUUGUGAUUUCUUGCGAUUAUUUCGAGGAAACUCCCCCUUUUUCCUUUGAACUUAUUCGACAUUUUUUUCUGACAGCUGCAUUGAAUAGACUCGACGAGAGACAGGGUCAGAAAAAACCUUUUUUUGUUCUUCUUUCGUUACCAUUACCCUGAAAUUGCUGUCAGUUCUUGCUUCUUGGGCCAGAAAUGAGAAAAUGGUUUAGUCUGAUUCCGGCAAAUUUUUCGGGAUGCACGUGCUCAAUGAAUCGUUAAAUUAUAGAGACAUUUUUCUGUUAACGACUUAACGGAUCUGCUCGUGUGCUGGCGUGCUGGACAACUGCUGUGGUUAUUUUCCACCUGUUCAGCACUGAAUGUGUGGUCCUACUACGAACUUCAUCAAAUGAAAGAAGAAUGCAGUGGGUUACGUGAUUCAGAGGCCCUUUUAUUGGACGAUCCGUUUUGUUUUGAAUCCCUGCGAUCCUAAUGCGUAGCAAUCUCCUUUCACGGUCGGAACCAGUUGCUGCAUUGGACUUUUGAAGCAUUGACACUCGGCUGGGCCACAGAAUAAUCGACCCCCUUGACUUAUCGUCACCACCUGUUUAUCUGGACAGGGACCUUUUCACGACAUUUCAGGGUCCUCUGCUCAAAACAGGGUAACAGUUACCAUCGGAAAAUCGCACAGAAUUGUCAUCGCAUCCAUCUUUUGGGAAAUCUAAUCCAGUUACGGGAAACGGCAAACUAUUGACAGGUAUUUGAUUGAUGACACUCUGUUGGUUGUUGUUGUUUUGUUGAUUUUCAUUAUUCUGUUGGUUGUUGUUUUGUUGGUUGUUGCUGUUUAAACUGACCACUGCAGCAAUAAUGGCCAUUCCGGCCGAUAAUGCUCCGGAGACUCCCGCAGCUAUUUCACCUGACCGUCCUGCGGCGACAAUGGCAGACGAUGCCAUACAAUUUGCUUCCAGUUUCUCACAAUCCUUUUCAUUGCUGACAUAAAUAGACCGACCAAUAUCUCGACCAUCAUCAUCUGAUGGUGCUGGAGAAGAUGAUGGAAAAGGUGGCGGAUUAACUGCCUGCGUGGAAUUGAGGCAAGUGGUUGUACAGUCCCCACUGGCAGUGACACAAGUGUAUCCCGCAUCCUGUCGCCGAAACCCAAAAGGACUCUGCUGCAAUUCCAAGUUGAUUGAACCUUCUAUGUCUGAGCAUCCUGUUCAUCAGUUGCUGUAGCCAUUCUGUCACCGUCACUUUGCUAUUCAACGAGCGUGAAAGCUCUUCAGGAUGGUCGGUAAGCUCGUGAGUUUGGUGCCUCUUUACAUCGACAUAGUUUUGUAAUAAAUCCCAUCGCUAAUGCAAUACUCCCGAUUCCAAUUCCCGCCGAUAAGGCAACAGCGGUCCCAACAGCUAUUGCACCCGAUUUUCUAGCCUCGGCUAAUGCGGAAGAAACGACACAUUCACUUUCAAGUGUUGGCGCCAAUGCAAAUGCCACGGCUCCAGCGGCUAUUGCUGCCGAUAUUGCACCUGUCACUACGGCGGAUCCCGCUCCCGAUUUGGCUGCAGCGACGAUGGCUGACGAACCGAUGCAGUCGACUUGCAGUUUAUCACAAUCACUUUUAUCGACUGUCAGGAAAGUGCGAGUAGUUACGACGCUUGUUGAAGAAAUGAGAUGCACAACAGCCUGGAAAACGGCCGUUCGAGUACAAAAGCGACCGCUGAUCUGCUCCGGUGACAG
RNAcentral lists this long non-coding RNA (1784 nucleotides) under Daphnia pulicaria. Its description in RNAcentral is "uncharacterized LOC124315961, transcript variant X1". The record is from RNAcentral. Lineage: Eukaryota; Metazoa; Arthropoda; Branchiopoda; Diplostraca; Daphniidae.